RNAcentral lists this ribosomal RNA (444 nucleotides) under uncultured organism. RNAcentral describes it as "partial 16S ribosomal RNA". It matches the Rfam family "Bacterial small subunit ribosomal RNA", at positions 335 to 796 of the family's 1533-position model. The record is from RNAcentral.
ACUCCUGCGGGAGGCAGCAGUGGGGAAUAUUGGACACUGGGCGCAAGCCUGAUCCAGCCAUGCCGCGUGAGUGAUGAAGGCCCUAGGGUUGUAAAGCUCUUUCACCGGUGAAGAUAAUGACGGUAACCGGAGAAGAAGCCCCGGCUAACUUCGUGCCAGCAGCCGCGGUAAUACGAAGGGGGCUAGCGUUGUUCGGAUUUACUGGGCGUAAAGCGCACGUAGGCGGACUAUUAAGUCAGGGGUGAAAUCCCGGGGCUCAACCCCGGAACUGCCUUUGAUACUGGUAGUCUUGAGUUCGAGAGAGGUGAGUGGAAUUCCGAGUGUAGAGGUGAAAUUCGUAGAUAUUCGGAGGAACACCAGUGGCGAAGGCGGCUCACUGGCUCGAUACUGACGCUGAGGUGCGAAAGCGUGGGGAGCAAACAGGAUUAGAAACCCCGGUAGUCC